Molecule: ribosomal RNA, 794 nt
Filed under: Lacticaseibacillus rhamnosus
Lineage: Bacteria; Bacillati; Bacillota; Bacilli; Lactobacillales; Lactobacillaceae
Description: bacterial SSU rRNA
Rfam family: Bacterial small subunit ribosomal RNA
Source: RNAcentral
GAACGAGUUCUGAUUAUUGAAAGGUGCUUGCAUCUUGAUUUAAUUUUGAACGAGUGGCGGACGGGUGAGUAACACGUGGGUAACCUGCCCUUAAGUGGGGGAUAACAUUUGGAAACAGAUGCUAAUACCGCAUAAAUCCAAGAACCGCAUGGUUCUUGGCUGAAAGAUGGCGUAAGCUAUCGCUUUUGGAUGGACCCGCGGCGUAUUAGCUAGUUGGUGAGGUAACGGCUCACCAAGGCAAUGAUACGUAGCCGAACUGAGAGGUUGAUCGGCCACAUUGGGACUGAGACACGGCCCAAACUCCUACGGGAGGCAGCAGUAGGGAAUCUUCCACAAUGGACGCAAGUCUGAUGGAGCAACGCCGCGUGAGUGAAGAAGGCUUUCGGGUCGUAAAACUCUGUUGUUGGAGAAGAAUGGUCGGCAGAGUAACUGUUGUCGGCGUGACGGUAUCCAACCAGAAAGCCACGGCUAACUACGUGCCAGCAGCCGCGGUAAUACGUAGGUGGCAAGCGUUAUCCGGAUUUAUUGGGCGUAAAGCGAGCGCAGGCGGUUUUUUAAGUCUGAUGUGAAAGCCCUCGGCUUAACCGAGGAAGUGCAUCGGAAACUGGGAAACUUGAGUGCAGAAGAGGACAGUGGAACUCCAUGUGUAGCGGUGAAAUGCGUAGAUAUAUGGAAGAACACCAGUGGCGAAGGCGGCUGUCUGGUCUGUAACUGACGCUGAGGCUCGAAAGCAUGGGUAGCGAACAGGAUUAGAUACCCUGGUAGUCCAUGCCGUAAACGAUGAAUGCUAGGUG